AUGUUAGGGCUUGGAGGGACUUUGGAGGGGGCCAUCGGGGUGUACCCUGGAGCUUGUCCGAGGGUUGGGGGAGAAGACAAUGGAGGAGACUCUGAGAUGUGGCCCUUUGCGGAUGGGGGAGUCGGGGCGCGGUCCUCUGCCGGGGUGCCAACGAGGAGCGGGGAAGCAGUUAGUCCUGUCGGGUCGGCGGAGGUCAGGGGGAGGCGACAGUGGGUAGUGGGCUGGCCGGAACUUGGAAGCCAUUGUUCAGUUCCCGAGGAAUUCAGCGCACCACUGAGGAAGGUCUUAAGAGAUCUGUGGAGGGUCACAGCUAGGGGACUCCCUGAGGUCCUGUCUCCAGCCUUGAUCGAGGGGAAGGCACCAGAAGGCAGACCUCACCCACCAUGUCAACGUUCAGGCAGGAAGAUGUGGAAGGCUACUACGAGAUGGGGGAGGAGCUGGGCAGCCUUUGAAAUCUGGUGUGUGAUACACGUUCCCAGCACAGCUCGGUUCGGACUGGCAUGUGGGCCACCGAGUGGCUGUCAUCUCGGACAGCACGGCUCCGUCCGAUGAUCCUGAACGUACUCGGACAUCCGUGAGGUGAAGGGUUAGAGGCACAGGACAGCGUGCACGCCGUGCUGCAUUUUGUAUGAAUUACAGAUGUUGUUUGGACGUCCCAAGGUCUGGUCUGUCUUUCUGUUACUUGCGUUCAUCUACGGAAGGACCUACAAGGCAGGUGCGCUUGCCUUCCCCGUUUUAUAAAGAAGUGGAGGCCGAGAGGAGGGAAGCAGCUUGCCCCAGGCCACACGGACCGGAGGUGGGCCUUAGGCUUCUGCUUGCCCCCCUGGAAGAGGCCCAUCAGAUGUCCCAGUGAGGCGGAGACCUGCACGUUGGGAAGAGUACGCAUCCUUGUGCCCCGGACAGCGUCUUCUCUGGUGCUCGCUCCGCACCUCGGCAGGUGGCUGCCGCAGCAAGCUCUCGGCUUCAGAGCAGGGUCUUCCCCGAGGCUAAUUGCUGACUGUCUUUGGGGGAUCAGCUGCUGGGCAUCCUCGUGGUGAGGAGGACCACAAAUAAAGCAGGGCCUCGUUUCCUUGUCCCAGGGCGAUGGGGCUGCACGAAGUGGAAGCACGUUUCUUUGUGUGUGUGCUUAGGAAGGGUUGGGGGGUUCUUCGUAGUCCACCUUCACACCAGUAGUCUUGGGGAGCAAGUCAGUCUGUGGGUUGACACGCGUGGCCUUCCACUGUGGGCGGGGGGCCGCGAACUGCAGAGAUGCGCGCUCUCCCGGGCCUGCAGGCGGAGGUCCAAGAUGGAGGUGUCCGCACUGCUGGUUCCUGCUGCGGUGCCUCUCCUCGGCAUGCACACAGCCGUCCUCCCUGGGCCUCACAGGGCUGUCUGUCUGUGUGCAUACGUCCUCCUUUCCUCUUACAAGGACACCGGUCAGAUUGGAUUCAGCCCACUUCUCUGAGCUCAUUUUAUCUGAAUCACCUCCUAGAGGUCCUGUCUCCCGUUCCCGUGAGCUCUGCCUUACUCCUCUUCAUUUGUUCAGCUUAGAGCAAAGCACGGGAAACCAGUCUUUGUAUUUGAAAAUGAGGCCCCAUGUCCAGCACUUAGCAUA
Ailuropoda melanoleuca (giant panda) is the source of this 1594-nucleotide long non-coding RNA. The record is from Ensembl. NCBI's taxonomy places the organism in Eukaryota, Metazoa, Chordata, Mammalia, Carnivora, Ursidae.